AUGCAUUCAGUCCACGUGCGUCGUUCCGGCGGUUAUACCUUCGAAGCAUUCAUUUUGGAGUGGAUUGGGUUCGAUAGUAGCGGAUGUAGUGGUUCACAUUCGUUCGGAGAGGUACUUGAUGACUCCAACAUCUUUGAGGUGAUGCGGUCAACGGGGCUGGGUGUUGCUAGUCGUCUCCUUCACAAGGAGACAGAACGAAGGUGCGGCACCAGGGCGAGCAGGGGGGAUGGCGCUGGUCGUCGUCGUUCGGCACACAGAAGCAUGGUAGGCUGGCGAUGA
RNAcentral lists this ribosomal RNA (279 nucleotides) under Triticum aestivum (bread wheat). RNAcentral's name for it is "partial small subunit ribosomal RNA". The record is from RNAcentral. Lineage: Eukaryota; Viridiplantae; Streptophyta; Magnoliopsida; Poales; Poaceae.